This 305-nucleotide ribosomal RNA is filed under the name uncultured bacterium. RNAcentral describes it as "bacterial SSU rRNA". It matches the Rfam family "Bacterial small subunit ribosomal RNA", at positions 337 to 640 of the family's 1533-position model. The record is from RNAcentral.
UCCUACGGGAGGCAGCAGUGAGGAAUAUUGGUCAAUGGGCGAGAGCCUGAACCAGCCAAGUCGCGUGAGGGAAGACGGUCCUAUGGAUUGUAAACCUCUUUUGCCGGGGAGCAAAAAGCGGUACGUGUACCGCAUCGAGAGUACCCGGAGAAAAAGCAUCGGCUAACUCCGUGCCAGCAGCCGCGGUAAUACGGAGGAUGCGAGCGUUAUCCGGAUUUAUUGGGUUUAAAGGGUGCGCAGGCGGUGAGUUAAGUCAGCGGUAAAAUUUCGGGGCGCAAUCCCGAGGUGCCGUUGAAACUGGCUUG